AUAUCUACCUGAAAGAUAAGAUAUCAUGAUCAUAAAGUGGUUCUCCCAGGGCAAGACUUAUCCAUUACACUCCAGAUGUGCUGACUCCUGCGAUUUCUCCCAAUGUGACUCCAGGUUGGAUCAAUCUUC
Molecule: small nuclear RNA, 129 nt
Filed under: Sorex araneus (European shrew)
Lineage: Eukaryota; Metazoa; Chordata; Mammalia; Eulipotyphla; Soricidae
Description: U1 spliceosomal RNA (ENSSARG00000019227.1)
Source: RNAcentral